This 211-nucleotide unclassified non-coding RNA is filed under the name Hevea brasiliensis (rubber tree). The record is from RNAcentral. Lineage: Eukaryota; Viridiplantae; Streptophyta; Magnoliopsida; Malpighiales; Euphorbiaceae.
AAAAAAAAAAAAAAGAGAAAAACUAAAGAAAAUAGUGCAUGCAUGUGUUUUUUGUCUGUUGAAUUAUUGAGGUAACUGUGGUGACCGUUACUUAACUGUAAAUAACUACUGUUAACAUUAUGUAGAAAUGGUAAUGGCUGUAACCAAUGCAACUCAGCAUUUUCCAUUAAAUGACGAGUAAAGGGUAACGGCCCCUUGAAAUACCCGUAAA